CGUGACGGAGCAAUGCCGCGUGCGGGAUGAAGCCCCUUGGGGUGUAAACCGCUGUCAGGGUUUAGGAAUCAAUGACCAGACCCAAAGGAAGGACCGGCUAACUCUGUGCCAGCAGCCGCGGUAAUACAGAGGGUCCAAGCGUUGAUCGGAAUCACUGGGUUUAAAGGGUCCGCAGGCGGAUUGGCAAGUGCGUUGUGAAAUCCCACGGCUUAACCGUGGAACUGCUUCGCAGACUGCCAAUCUUGAGCGUGUCAGGGGUCGUCGGAACUCUAGGUGGAGCGGUGAAAUGCGUAGAUAUCUAGAGGAAUGCCGAAAGCGAAGGCGGACACCUGGGCCUGUCCUGACGCUCAUGCACGAAAGCGUGGGUAGCGAACGGGAUUAGAUACCCCGGUAGUCCACGCCCUAAACGAUGUGUACUAGGUAGCGGAGGUUUUGACGCCAUCGCUGCCGAAGCCAAAGUGUUAAGUACACCACCUGGGGAGUACGGUCGCAAGGCUAAAACUCAAAGGAAUUGACGGGG
RNAcentral lists this ribosomal RNA (520 nucleotides) under uncultured Phycisphaera sp. RNAcentral's name for it is "bacterial SSU rRNA". It matches the Rfam family "Bacterial small subunit ribosomal RNA", at positions 382 to 918 of the family's 1533-position model. The record is from RNAcentral. Lineage: Bacteria; Pseudomonadati; Planctomycetota; Phycisphaerae; Phycisphaerales; Phycisphaeraceae.